GGAUCAGCCCACGGCCUAUCAGCUUGUUGGUGGGGUGAUGGCCUACCAAGGCGACGACGGGUAGCCGGCCUGAGAGGGCGACCGGCCACACUGGGACUGAGACACGGCCCAGACUCCUACGGGAGGCAGCAGUGGGGAAUAUUGCACAAUGGGCGAAAGCCUGAUGCAGCGACGCCGCGUGAGGGAUGACGGCCUUCGGGUUGUAAACCUCUUUCAGCAGGGAAGAGGCGCAAGUGACGGUACCUGCAGAAGAAGCACCGGCUAACUACGUGCCAGCAGCCGCGGUAAUACGUAGGGUGCGAGCGUUGUCCGGAAUUAUUGGGCGUAAAGAGCUCGUAGGCGGCCUGUCGCGUCGGAUGUGAAAGCCCGGGGCUUAACCCCGGGUCUGCAUUCGAUACGGGCAGGCUAGAGUUCCGUAGGGGAGAUCGGAAUUCCUGGUGUAGCGGUGAAAUGCGCAGAUAUCAGGAGGAACACCGGUGGCGAAGGCGGAUCUCUGGGCCGAUACUGACGCUGAGGAGCGAAAGCGUGGGGAGCGAACAGGAUUAGAUACCCUGGUAGUCCACGCCGUAAACGUUGGGAACUAGGUGUGGGCGACAUUCCACGUC
This 605-nucleotide ribosomal RNA is filed under the name Peterkaempfera griseoplana. RNAcentral describes it as "bacterial SSU rRNA". It matches the Rfam family "Bacterial small subunit ribosomal RNA", at positions 223 to 838 of the family's 1533-position model. The record is from RNAcentral. Lineage: Bacteria; Bacillati; Actinomycetota; Actinomycetes; Kitasatosporales; Streptomycetaceae.